Papaver somniferum (opium poppy) is the source of this 1248-nucleotide long non-coding RNA. RefSeq lists it as uncharacterized. Lineage: Eukaryota; Viridiplantae; Streptophyta; Magnoliopsida; Ranunculales; Papaveraceae. The record is from RefSeq and is a predicted model, not a curated record. The transcript has 5 exons.
AAUAAAACCCACAGACAGAAUUUCAUAGUUAAUUUUCUCUCACCAAAAUCAAAAACCCAAAAUCUACCCUAAACCGAAACCCAUCUUCGAAACUUCAUUUGAAUGAUUUUUUUUCGACAAAAAGAAAUCAUCAUCAACAACAACGACAGGAACAAGUUUUUUCCCAUUAGAAACCCACCAUAGAAUUCCCCUCAUAAACAUAGAAUACAUCUGAUCUUUAGGACAUGUUCUUGUGUAAAUUCUAUUACUCGAUUUCGAAUCCGAUCUCAGAUUAGUGAUUAGUAUGCUGUAAUCUGCAUUACCCAUAAAAUGGUUAGGCAAAUCAUUUACAAAUUACAGUUUUUCAAUUUAAUGGUGGAAAUUGGAGUUCAUCCGAUUGUAACCGUAGAGAUCCAUUAAUCAGCUAGGACUGAGUUUUGGUUCGUUUGAAGGAUUUGGGUAUCCAUCAGCAGCUGAGUGAAUCACCAGUUUUGGGGCCAUCUGAGGUUCCUGAAUAGAAGCUAGAAUUCAAGCAUAGGCUUCCAAUAGCUCUUGGAGCAGCUAAAGGUGAUCCUCUGGAAAAUCAGAGAGCAUUGAUGGCUUCCCUGGUUUAGCCCACCUGCAUACUAUGAGUCCUCCUUUGGUACAUAAGAAUUUCAAAACAUGCAGAUGUUUUACAAUGCGACACCUCAAGCAUUAGAUGGAAAAUACGGUGUGCCGAAUUAUGCGGUUUCUCGUGUUACUUCGAAGGUAGUCGAAGCUCCAUCAUGAUCAAAUCUGCUGAUGGGAAGAUUUCUGAUACCCUCGUGAAUGGGGGUUUGGGUCAUCAUAAAGAUUCUAUUUCUGUAAACGGGAAGUUAGAGACAUUCAAGGACCUUAUCAUCUAGCCUUGCUCUGCAUGUCUUCUUUUUCAUUUAGUCCGGAGUUCAAAGUCAUCCGCAUAAAGAAGUAAUGAGAACAGAAGUCUGUAGAAUGCUGAGACUGAUUUCAACAAAUGUACCGAAAUCAUCUUUGAGUUGAAGAGGAAAAGAGGUGAAAGAAGAUGAUGGGAGGCGGGUCAAGUUUGUGAUGAUUCCCAAGAUUUUGUCAGCACAAUUGCAUUAAGCAUUUAGCUGGUUCUAUGAGAUUUUACUUUAGUUUAUUUUUUCUAGUUUCCCGCCAUUUUUAUUCUGACCAGUUCCAGAAGUGAAUUCCAAACCAAGAUGUGUGUAAUUAGUUCCUUUCUAUUUAUUUUGUUAUAUUUCCAUGGAGGGGUUCCUUUGCAAUAAU